Molecule: ribosomal RNA, 430 nt
Filed under: uncultured bacterium
Lineage: Bacteria
Description: bacterial SSU rRNA
Rfam family: Bacterial small subunit ribosomal RNA
Source: RNAcentral
GUAGGGAAUUUUCGUCAAUGGGGGGAACCCUGAACGAGCAAUGCCGCGUGUGUGAAGAAGGUCUUCGGAUCGUAAAGCACUGUUGUAAGUGAAGAAUGCCAUAUAGAGGAAAUGCUAUGUGGGUGACGGUAGCUUACCAGAAAGCCACGGCUAACUACGUGCCAGCAGCCGCGGUAAUACGUAGGUGGCAAGCGUUAUCCGGAAUCAUUGGGCGUAAAGGGUGCGUAGGUGGCACGAUAAGUCUGAAGUAAAAGGCAACAGCUCAACUGUUGUAUGCUUUGGAAACUGUCGAGCUAGAGUGCAGAAGAGGGCGAUGGAAUUCCAUGUGUAGCGGUAAAAUGCGUAGAUAUAUGGAGGAACACCAGUGGCGAAGGCGGUCGCCUGGUCUGUAACUGACACUGAUGCACGAAAGCGUGGGGAGCAAAUAGGA